This is a long non-coding RNA of Nicotiana tabacum (common tobacco), 932 nucleotides long. RefSeq lists it as uncharacterized. NCBI's taxonomy places the organism in Eukaryota, Viridiplantae, Streptophyta, Magnoliopsida, Solanales, Solanaceae. The record is from RefSeq and is a predicted model, not a curated record.
GAGAGAUAUUCAAUUUCUAAAUUUUCUGUCAUUUCUCUCUCUUCAAUUACCCGAUCUAGGGUUCUUUUUCGAAAUCUCAAUCUCGAUCGAUUGAAUAUCACAAAAUCUAUUAUGGCAUCAGAGCGUGACAUCCGAUCCGUCUUGUUGCUAGCUUCCGUCCGAUAGUACCUGUUGUCGGAGUUUCGACGUUUUGUGUUUGGUGCUGUGAGAUUCGCCUGAUUUGAGUCUAGGAUUUUUUCGCGUUUUCAUCUAAUUCUAUACUUACAAGGCCUUAGCUUCUUCAGGGAUAUAAAUAAGUGUUUGAAAUGGAAGCAAUUAACUUGAAUCAACUUUGUAUGGACGAGCAUGACCCAAUGUUGAAUCUGAAGGUGCGUUGCAAGCAUGGAGAUUUGCUGUCAUUGCAAACUUCUUGGUCGACUAGGAACCUUGAAAGACGGUUAUGGUCUUGUCCAUACUAUGGUACCAAGUUUGUAAAUAUUUUCGAUGGAGGGGUGCUAUUGAUGACCGUUCUAGGUUUGUCCUUCCACGAUUGGUGAAUAAAUUGAGGGAGAUUGUAGAAGGAUUAGCCAAUUAUGAAUCAUUGAAGACUCAAUUGGUGGAAAUUGAGCAUGAGAUAGAGAAUGAAUAAUGGACGGAGGUUGAGCAAGAGUUAGAGGGUCAUCAGAUGAUCAAUCAAGGGUUGAACCAAAAGGAGAAGAUGAAUCACAGCUGGAAUCUUUAUAAUAGGAAGGGCAUCUUAUGUAUUUUGUUGUGUCUGAUUAUAUGUUAUCUGUUUAUAUGGUAAUCGUUCAAAUUCUAUGUAGUUUGUUAGAGUUAAUCUCCGAUUUUUGUGACAUUAACUGUAGUUCGGAGCUCCAAUUCUCUGUAGUUUGUAGGAGUUAAUCUCCUUUUUUUGGUUGAACAACAAUGAAUGGAACUUGAGUUUGUACAUA